CACGUAUUUAGCCGGUGCUUCUUACUCAGGUACCGUCAUUUUUCUUCCCUGCUGAUAGAGCUUUACAUACCGAAAUACUUCUUCGCUCACGCGGCGUCGCUGCAUCAGGGUUUCCCCCAUUGUGCAAUAUUCCCCACUGCUGCCUCCCGUAGGAGUUUGGGCCGUGUCUCAGUCCCAAUGUGGUCGGCCACCCUCUCAGGUCGGCUACUGAUCGUCGCCUUGGUGGGCCUCUCCCCCGCCAACUAGCUAAUCAGACGCGGGCCCAUCCCAUACCACCGGAGUUUUUCACACCAGGCCAUGCGGCCCUUGUGCGCUUAUGCGUUUAGCAGCCGUUUCCGGCUGUUACUCCCCUGUAGUGGGGCAGGUUCGCCCGACGCGUUACUCCACCCGUCCGCCACCUCACGUCCACUAACUUUUCCUUCCUUACCCCCGAAGGAAACUACUAAAAAGAGUUCG
This 456-nucleotide ribosomal RNA is filed under the name uncultured Lachnospiraceae bacterium. RNAcentral's name for it is "partial 16S ribosomal RNA". Lineage: Bacteria; Bacillati; Bacillota; Clostridia; Lachnospirales; Lachnospiraceae. The record is from RNAcentral.